This 489-nucleotide long non-coding RNA is filed under the name Astyanax mexicanus (Mexican tetra). RNAcentral describes it as "lncRNA (ENSAMXG00005012398.1)". Lineage: Eukaryota; Metazoa; Chordata; Actinopteri; Characiformes; Acestrorhamphidae. The record is from RNAcentral.
CAUUAUCAAUUAACGUCUAUUUUCUGGUGUAUUUAAUACAUAAAGCGCACCAGAUUAUAAGGCACAUUUUUAGAGACACUAUAAAGAACUUCUAAUUCAGAGUGGUGGUGGGGGAGUAGCUAACUAAGUUUAAUUAAGCAAAGCUAAGUAAACAUAUCUGUAAUAAAAAAAAUACUUUAUUUUAAAGUCAAACAUGCGCUGGGUGUAAAUCUACACACGUCUCUGCUGAAAACUGUUCAUUUGUAUCACUGACCAGCCUAUGAAAAAGUUUACAACCCAAUGAAACAGCAGCUUAGCCCCGCCCACUGCACUGGAAAACACAGCAAACUGGACAUUAGAGCAUGGCAGCACUAGAGCCAAUGAAUCAAGUCUUACACUUCCCGGGCCCUGUCCACUCCUAAAAAUCAAGGUCCUGAACAUGGAAGCAGUUUCAUCCAGCCUAAAAGGUGAUACAUAGUAAAAAAGAACCAUAUAUGAUUAUUUAAAUAA